RNAcentral lists this unclassified non-coding RNA (520 nucleotides) under uncultured Glomus. RNAcentral describes it as "SSU rRNA". It matches the Rfam family "Eukaryotic small subunit ribosomal RNA", at positions 569 to 1090 of the family's 1831-position model. The record is from RNAcentral. Lineage: Eukaryota; Fungi; Glomeromycota; Glomeromycetes; Glomerales; Glomeraceae.
AGCAGCCGCGGUAAUUCCAGCUCCAAUAGCGUAUAUUAAAGUUGUUGCAGUUAAAAAGCUCGUAGUUGAAUUUCGGGAUCAAUUAAUUGGUCGUGCCUCUGGUACGUACUGGUUUUAUUGGUUUCUCCCUUCUGACGAACCAUGAUGUCAUUAAUUUGGUGUCGUGGAGAAUCAGGACUGUUACUUUGAAAAAAUUAGAGUGUUUAAAGCAAGCUAACGCUUGAAUACAUUAGCAUGGAAUAAUGAAAUAGGACGUUUGAUCCUAUUUUGUUGGUUUCUAGGAUCGACGUAAUGAUUAAUAGGGAUAGUUGGGGGCAUUAGUAUUCAAUUGUCAGAGGUGAAAUUCUUGGAUUUAUUGAAGACUAACUACUGCGAAAGCAUUUGCCAAGGAUGUUUUCAUUAAUCAAGAACGAAAGUUAGGGGAUCGAAGACGAUCAGAUACCGUCGUAGUCUUAACCAUAAACUAUGCCGACUAGGGAUCGGAUGAUGUUAAUUUUUUAAUGACUCAUUCGGCGCCUUA